This 494-nucleotide ribosomal RNA is filed under the name uncultured bacterium. RNAcentral describes it as "bacterial SSU rRNA". It matches the Rfam family "Bacterial small subunit ribosomal RNA", at positions 903 to 1397 of the family's 1533-position model. The record is from RNAcentral.
AAAUGAAUAGACGGGGGCCCGCACAAGCGGAGGAACAUGUGGUUUAAUUCGAUGAUACGCGAGGAACCUUACCCGGGCUCGAACGACAGGGGAAUAUGGGGGAAACUUCAUAGCCAGCAAUGGCCGCUGUCGAGGUGCUGCAUGGUUGUCGUCAGCUCGUGCCGUGAGGUGUCGGCUUAAGUGCCAUAACGAGCGCAACCCUUAUCUUUAGUUGCCAGCGGGUCAUGCCGGGGACUCUAGAGAAACUGCCAGCGUAAGCUGUGAGGAAGGUGGGGAUGACGUCAAAUCAGCACGGCCCUUACGUCCGGGGCGACACACGUGUUACAAUGGUCGGUACAGAGGGCAGCUACCUGGUGACAGGAUGCGAAUCUCGAAAGCCGAUCUCAGUUCGGAUCGGAGUCUGCAACUCGACUCCGUGAAGCUGGAUUCGCUAGUAAUCGCGCAUCAGCCAUGGCGCGGUGAAUACGUUCCCGGGCCUUGUACACACCGCCCGU